Molecule: ribosomal RNA, 367 nt
Filed under: uncultured eukaryote
Lineage: Eukaryota
Description: partial small subunit ribosomal RNA
Source: RNAcentral
AUGAUCCAACAGGCCGCCAGGCUGAUGGAAAAAUCCGGCGGCGGCGCCAUCGUUAAUGUGGCCUCUAUCAAUGGCAUCCGACCGGUUCCCUUCCAGGGGAUCUAUUCCAUUACCAAAGCAGGCUUAAUUUCCAUGACCAAGGCUUUUGCCAAAGAGCUCGCCACUAAAAACAUCCGGGUCAAUGCGCUGCUUCCGGGGUUGACAGAAACCCAUUUUUCAGAGACCAUCAUUAUAAACGAACAAAUAUAUAACUUUGCCGUUCAGCAGAUACCCAUGGGGCGACAUGCCCAGCCCGGUGAAAUGGCAGGCGCUGUACUGUACCUGGUGUCUGAUGCCGCUUCUUUUACGACCGGGACGUGCUUGGUCU